UGCCUUUCAGGGCUGGCCCUGUUAGCCUGGUUCCCAGCUCAGAGCUCUGUAUGCUGAUUUGAAUCACAGUCCUCAGAAGAGCAGAACAUUGGUGCUAGGAAGGAUUAGAGUUCUGAGCCAUCAAACCAGCUUCAAGGUUUUUCUUUUCCCAUUAUUUUGAUGUUUGAUAGCAUGCUUAAAUUAAAUACUUGGAAGAUUACAUUUUGCUAAAUAAUGCUGUGAGCAAACAGUUUCUGCAGUCCAGACAUUCUUUCACCCGAGAACAUUUUCUUUAAAAGGUAGCACGUUUCCUUGGACAGCAGCCAUCCCUGGCAGCAGAUCUCAGCACUCAGUAGGAAACCCAUGCCUUUGAGUUCUGAACUAGCCCAUACUGGAAUUAAAACACAACACUAACAGUCAGAAUCGGUUGUUCUUGGUGGGAUGAAGAGGACCACAUAGUCUCUGCUCAUGAAAAAAACUGAACUAGAAUUUACAUGAAUAACUUCCAGUAAAUCUGUCUGUGUCAGCUCCUCACCAUUACAGCAACGCCUUUGAGAAAUGGAUAGGUGAGAACAUGUACUAAUGUCAGCUGUGUAUACAUUCAGCUCUGGGGUAAAAAGCCUUAACAAGAGAACAGAAAGAGGUUGGGCCACAGUGCAGUUAAAAACACACAAAAAAAUGGAAGUCAAAUGUCAACACAGAAGUUUAAUUUGGAGGUCUGUGGACAGAUGGAGAGUUGAAGUCCACUCCCUACCUGUUUGUAGGUCUUCUUUUUAUUUAUUUAUUAUACUAAUUAGAAAAAA
RNAcentral lists this long non-coding RNA (782 nucleotides) under Anas platyrhynchos platyrhynchos (common mallard). Its description in RNAcentral is "lncRNA (ENSAPLG00000018862.1)". The record is from RNAcentral. Lineage: Eukaryota; Metazoa; Chordata; Aves; Anseriformes; Anatidae.